This 1530-nucleotide long non-coding RNA is filed under the name Homo sapiens (human). Its description in RNAcentral is "HSALNT0386468". The record is from RNAcentral. Lineage: Eukaryota; Metazoa; Chordata; Mammalia; Primates; Hominidae.
UUGGAACUUGGCAGCUCCAUCAGUGCUCCACGUGAGUCAAGACAGAAUCUGGUGCACCAAAAAGCUGCAGAUGUUGCACACAUGCUCUAAACUCUUUUUCCCCUGGGAGAGAAUUCAUGGGUCAAGGUGAUCUUGCUCAGCUCUCAGUUUUGCCAGCUUGGGGAAUGAGCUGAAGCAGGUGCUUUCCAUUACUGGACUCAACAAGAAGUAAAGGGCACAGGAGGCACAUACCACGCAAUUGUACAGGUUGGCUGGAUUUAGCUGGGCAGUCCUUCACUAACUGACACUCUAUUUGGGAUGACUCAUGUGGCUUCACUCAAUGGUGAGCUCUGCUGGGCUGUGACAUUAGAGAUGGCUUUACUUACUUGUCUAGGACAUGGUUGCUGGUAGCCAGCUGGGGAGCCAUGACUUUUUGUUUAUGUGACUUCUGUUUCCACAUGGCUUCUCAUCAUUCAGUAGAGAAACCUUAGUUUCUUUACAUGGUGCCUGGGUUCCAAGACAGCAAAAACUCAGUUCUUAUGACCUAAUCCCAGACCUGGCACAAUGUUACUUUGGUCACAUUCUAUUGACCAAACAAUUUCUGAGGCCAGACAUAAACUCAUCUCUUGAAGGGAGGAGAGCCAUGCCCAGGUAUGGAUGGGGGGAUUGUGGUUGGCCAUCUUUGGAGACAAUCUUCCAUUCCUAUCCUGGCCUAAAUUUCAAAUCUAAGCAAAGGGUAGAGUUUAAAUACAACUCAUAGGUUGAGAAAUAGAAAUACUUUUGGCAAAAGAACAAGAUAUCAUGUAGUCCAGGGCAGAACGUUUUUGUGAUUAAAGUAAUAUGACUUAUUAGAGAGAUUCAAAGAUGAGACCUGGAAGAUACGCCUGACUUGAAAUUAUCCGGCUUAUUAUACCUCGAUAUCUAUGAGUCAGAAAAUGUAUUGAAUAUGUUCAGCCUAAUCCUUUUUUUGCUACUAUUAGGACUUAUGACUAUGCUUGUCAUCACAAGAUAGUUCAAGUAUUUGUACUUCACAAGGGGAAGAGUAAGUUUUUUAACAUUUAUUGAUCAAACGUUUUGUGUCACACAAUUUAGCUUAUUUAAUAUUCAUGAUAACCUAAUGAAGUAUCAGUAUACUCCAUUUGUUCAUUCAAUUAUUUUUUAUAAUACAGCUUAUUAUAUUCUAAGCAUUAUUUGGGGCAUAAAAAUAUGGCAGAUAGCAAAAUAGACAAAGAUUCAAUCCUCCCAAAGCCCACAUACAAGUGAAGAGUAAGAAUUAUUUUAAUGUUUGUUCAUUGUCUGUUAAUUGACAAUCAAUAUUGUAAAGAAAAUGUACACAUUGAACAAAUCCUACAGGAUUUCACAUUAUUUGAGAUGAUUACAUUGUACAUUAUUCCUGAUGAACAUAAAAGAUAUUUGAUGAGGUGAUAUUUGAUUAUAGUUUGAUUUUUCAAAAUUAAUGAAGCCAAAAGCUUUUAUCUCACCAUUACGCCCCUCUGUCUGAUGCCUACCCUUUUCCUGAAAUAUAAUAAAAAUACUGGCAUUUUAAGAUGA